GCAUUAAUGGGGUAGUGGUAACCUGGGUCGUUGCCACAAGUGCAGCAAAUCUCGACCCGCCGGGGGUUCGAUUCCCCCUUAAUGCA
Termitomyces sp. 'cryptogamus' is the source of this 86-nucleotide non-coding RNA. The record is from the annotation of a GenBank genome assembly. Lineage: Eukaryota; Fungi; Basidiomycota; Agaricomycetes; Agaricales; Lyophyllaceae.